UACGUAGGGGGCAAGCGUUGUCCGGAUUUAUUGGGCGUAAAGAGCGUGUAGGCGGCCGUACAGGUCAGCUGUGAAAACUCGAGGCUCAACCUCGAGACGUCGGUUGAAACCGUACGGCUAGAGUCCGGAAGAGGAGAGUGGAAUUCCUGGUGUAGCGGUGGAAUGCGCAGAUAUCAGGAGGAACACCGAUGGCGAAGGCAGAUCUCUGGGCCGUUACUGACGCUGAGGAGCGAAAGCGUGGGGAGCGAACAGG
Molecule: ribosomal RNA, 253 nt
Filed under: uncultured bacterium
Lineage: Bacteria
Description: partial 16S ribosomal RNA
Rfam family: Bacterial small subunit ribosomal RNA
Source: RNAcentral